This 451-nucleotide ribosomal RNA is filed under the name uncultured bacterium. RNAcentral describes it as "partial 16S ribosomal RNA". It matches the Rfam family "Bacterial small subunit ribosomal RNA", at positions 354 to 796 of the family's 1533-position model. The record is from RNAcentral.
GUGGGGAAUAUUGGACAAUGGGGGGAACCCUGAUCCAGCCAUGCCGCGUGUGUGAAGAAGGCCUUUUGGUUGUAAAGCACUUUAAGCGAGGAGGAGGCUACCGAGAUUAAUACUCUUGGAUAGUGGACGUUACUCGCAGAAUAAGCACCGGCUAACUCUGUGCCAGCAGCCGCGGUAAUACAGAGGGUGCAAGUGUUAAUCGGAUUUACUGGGCGUAAAGCGCGCGUAGGUGGCCAAUUAAGUCAAAUGUGAAAUCCCCGAGCUUAACUUGGGAAGUGCAUUCGAUACUGGUUGGCUAGAGUAUGGGAGAGGAUGGUAGAAUUCCAGGUGUAGCGGUGAAAUGCGUAGAGAUCUGGAGGAAUACCGAUGGCGAAGGCAGCCAUCUGGCCUAAUACUGACACUGAGGUGCGAAAGCAUGGGGAGCAAACAGGAUUAGAUACCCGAGUAGUCC